RNAcentral lists this ribosomal RNA (378 nucleotides) under uncultured bacterium. RNAcentral's name for it is "bacterial SSU rRNA". It matches the Rfam family "Bacterial small subunit ribosomal RNA", at positions 790 to 1167 of the family's 1533-position model. The record is from RNAcentral.
GUAGUCCACGCUGUAAACGAUGUCUACUAGCCGUUGGGAGACUUGAUUUCUUAGUGGCGCAGCUAACGCUUUAAGUAGACCGCCUGGGGAGUACGGCCGCAAGGUUAAAACUCAAAUGAAUUGACGGGGGCCCGCACAAGCGGUGGAGCAUGUGGUUUAAUUCGAUGCAACGCGAAGAACCUUACCAGGUCUUGACAUCCUCGGAACUGCCCAGAGAUGGGCGGGUGCCUUCGGGAACCGAGAGACAGGUGCUGCAUGGCUGUCGUCAGCUCGUGUCGUGAGAUGUUGGGUUAAGUCCCGUAACGAGCGCAACCCUUGUCCUUAGUUGCCAGCACGUCAUGGUGGGAACUCUAAGGAGACUGCCGGUGACAAACCGGA